RNAcentral lists this long non-coding RNA (4415 nucleotides) under Mus musculus (house mouse). RNAcentral's name for it is "long non-coding RNA chr13:95027985-95032400". The record is from RNAcentral. Lineage: Eukaryota; Metazoa; Chordata; Mammalia; Rodentia; Muridae.
AGCUGUGUCAUCACUAGCCCUAAUGUCUCAUUCUGUGUGAUUCCACAGCUCCUGCCAAGGCACUGGCCUGGAGGAACUUAGUCCCUUUUCCUGUGAUCUUCUUUUACUUUUGUAAGAUCACAUCUAUACUCCUGGACAGCCUAUGCCACUAACUGACAUUUGCAGCAAAGGUCAAACUGCCGAUAGCCCGUGCAAUGGAGGCAGUAGACGACACAAGUCAAGAGCAGUUGCUGUUGUAGCCCUGGCGGCAGGCAUGCUCACGUGUUUUUGUUUGUUCUCUUUUGUUGUUGUUUGUAACUAUUGUCACUUAAAACAACGCAUAUGCAGCAGUGAGCAUGGCCUAUUUUUUUUUUAAGCUCUUAACCUCUCAGUGUGUGUCUUCUGACUAUUCUGCAUGACAGAAUGGCAAGCACAGGACACCUUCAUGUGCAGCCACCGUCAGGGCGUCUCUAGGACCAGCACCAGAGCAGUUGAGCUGUGAGGUGAAUGUGUUGCUUUUCCUCAGGGAGUGUUAAUACGUCACUGUCAGGGUGCAUGGACAUCUGGGUAUCCUACGUGAUACAGGGUGUCUGGACUCUUGAAGCUGAAAGGUGAGAUCCACUGUGGUGAUUUGAAUACGCUUGGCCCAGGGAGUGGCACUAGUAGGAGGUAUAGCCUCAUUGGAGGAUAAGAUGCUCCUCCUCGCUGCCUGGAAGCCAGUCUAUGCCACCAGCCUUCAGAUGAAGACAUAGAACUCCCAGAUCCUCCUGUCCCAUGCCUGCCUGGAUGCUGCCACUCCUUGAUAAUGAACUGAACCCCUGAACCUGUAGGCCAGCCCCAAUUGAAUAUUGUUCUUAUAAGAGUUGCCUUGGACAUGGUGUCUCUUCACAGCAGCUAACUAAGACAUCCACAUUCCCUGAUAAUGUCUGGAACUCGUCACAUGCUUCAUUUGCAACCUGAUUUUCAGGCCACACUGGCAUUGUCACUACAUGAUUGUGAGAGAAAGGACCCCUGAGGACUUAACAGGGGGACCUUCUCCCAGUGUCAGGAACGAGGAGUGAGCAUCAAGUCCUCCCCAUGUGGGUCCCAGGAAACCCAUUAAUGACUUCUGGCUCAGCUCAAAUAUCUCCUGAUGUUCUGAGAGUGAUGUGGUCCAUACCCUCAUUCUUGUUACUCCAUCUGCCCCUCCCCACUUCCCAUCUCUGACACAGACAAGCUCAGAACUGCCUGGCUGACUUUUCUGCAGUUCAGAGGCUCCUUCCUUGCCAGCCAUGCUAUAUACAGCAUCAGCUAUUCUUCAGUCUGCCUCAGUUACACAUCCCAGCCAGGUAGCAGAUUACCCACUAUGUGUUACUUACAGUUGCUUGCUAUCUGUCUUCUGUGAUACAUAUAGACACCAGUCUUUAAAGUUUCUUCUUGAAAUAGGACUCUACUUCAAAAGAUACCUGACAGUUUACUGUCUUCUACAGUUUUAUCUUUUUAUCCUGUUUUUUACAUUUUUAAAUCCUUCAAAAAUAGAAUUCUAAUAUCAUUCUGUAAAGCCCCUUUCUCCUUUGUCUAGGGAAAAAAAAAUCUGAAUUCCCAUAGCAUCUAACACAGAUAUAUCCUUAGGGGUACUUUUUUUUUUUUUUUACUAGUUUUUGUAUGUGUAUGUAUAUGUGCAUGCAUGCAUGUAUAUAUGUGAGUGUUGCGUGUGGCCUAUGUGCACAUGUGCCUUUGGGUGCUUGUGUGCAAAGGGUGAAGGAUGUCAGGUGUCCUGCCUAUGAUUAUUUGCCUCGUUCCUUUGAGACAAGGUCCUUCUGGACCUAGAGUGGGGCUGGACCCUGUUGAACCCCAACAGCCCAGUCUCUGACCCUGCACAGUGCUGAGGUCAAAGGUGCUCACAUGGCCACGCCCUGAUUCUUAACAGGGGUGCUAAGAUUUGAACUUAAGUGCUCAUGUUUAUAUAGCAAGUGUCCUUACCCAUAGAACCAUCUCUCUAGAUAUCCACCUCUUUGAACCAAGGUAUGGGCUUACCUGUGUCUAUAACUAUCUCUGAGUAAAGCGGGUGACCCAUGAGCAGGAUGUGCCUCCCAUAAUGCACCAGAGAGACAGUCAUGUCGUAGUAAAUACACAGUUUCCUAAUUAUUAGGGAAGUCCAGGAUCCAUCAGUUACAGAAUUCCCGCUAGCCCAGGAGGGUUUUGCUCAGUGACUAGCAUACUGGCCUGUCUCUUGAGAGAACCACACAUCUCCAGUGAUGGCUAAGGGUGGCCUUCCAGAGAAGUUCCCUACCUGUGAGACCCACAGAGUUCUGUGGCCUAAGGCCUGUUCCUAGAAGGGGAGGGGCACUUCCCACAUGGUAACACACCUGAGCAAAGUACUCCUCGGAGAUCCUUCCAGCCCAUUCAAUGCACAGGUCCAAGGGCCGGCACGGGUUGGCCACGUCGGCACACUUAAUCAUCAUGCGUUUGAUGAGGAUUUGGUUCUCAGGAAAGUUCUUCCCGGUAGGGUUGCAUUCACAAUCACUGCCCUCACUCUGGGAAAAAAAACCAAAAAACAACAAACAAAACCGAUCAGAUCAGGGCUGGGGAAACUCACAGAGGCUAACUCACCGGACACACAGGUUAGUCUGGGACUUAGCAAUGGGAACUGUCUGAUUUCUAUAUCCAUAAAUAACAUGUUAGCAUCGUCUUUAAGAACCAUCAAUAUUGUAUCGAAUUCAAAAGGCCAAAAGUCCCCAUCACCCACUGACCUGGUGUAGCAGCUACAGGCAGUGUUUGUUCUGAGCAGUUUAGGAGAUCACCUUAAAAGGGACUGUCUCCCACUCUCUCUCCCUCUCCCCGACUCCUCAGAAAUGUAUGAAAACACAGCUUUCAGUUAUUUUAAUCCAUCAAAUGUCAAGAAAUUGUGACUUUUCAAUUCCGUCUUCAUUUGUUUUUACUUGGUUUCCUCUCGCUGCCUACCCACCCCCCUUCGUCAGCCAUGUAUACAUCCACGUGUGCUUCUUGGCUGGCUCUCAUUGAGAGAUAAUUAGUGUGAAGUGUGAAGCAUGGAUAUUUGGGCCAAAAUGCAAGAGGAUGUGUGUUCGGCAGUCUCUGAAGACAUGGUUAUGCAGUGCUAUGUACCUACUGGGGGAAUGCCAGUGGCCCAGGGCAUGGAACCAGGUCUGUAUGUAUGCAUUCACACCAAUUUCACAGAGCCUGGAGAACUAUCCUCUCCAAGAGGCACCAUGGGUUUGUAUGAAGCCGUUAAUUAGCUCUCCAGAGCUGGGCCAAGCUGAAAGACAGCCUGACGUGUAGUGGGAUUUUGUUGUGAGGUUGGUCCUCUUUAUUGGACUCCUGAGGGAAGACAGUUCUAGACGCUGUUUUCCCAACACCCUAAGAAGGUAUUGUUUACUGCAGACCAUGUGUCGGGCAGUAAAUCUCAAACAGAAUUGGAGGUAUGAAGAGAUGACUGUCUCAAUUCCAAACUCAGUCAUUCUGUGUAGUUUUAUGCUCAAAACGUCAAGAUACUUAUUUGUUCCUCUCUACCUCUGCCAGGAGGAAACCCCUGGCUUGUGUGAUGGCAUCCGUGGGAGAUGGGGAUCAACACGGAUGAGCUGGCAAUCUUCCUCUCCCUAGGUUGGUCAUGUGAUGGGUUCUAUAGCCAGCGUCCUUACUGAUCAUCAAGUUACCUUCAGAACAUUUAUUCUACCUUUUACAGGACUGGAAACUUAUGCCUUUCAGGAGCUAUGGAACACACUUAUGGUUUCCGAGGAGACAGCCAAUUUCAUGUUAGUAAAGGGUGAACAUUCUGUCUUAUUUCUAAAGCCCAGAGUCGUAAGGCGCAUAAGUGAGGUUCAUGGUAAACUUCUCUCUUUUUAAAAUUUUUAUUUAAAAAAAACAUUUUGUAUAUUUUGAACAUAUUCUUCUUAUUUUCUUCAGGUCCUCCAUACUUCCCUACAGAUUUUCAAUGUUAUUUUGUCUCUUUUUAUUGUAUUUUUUAUUGGGGGGGGAACAUGAUGCAUUUAUAAAAAAAGAAAAAAAGCUUACAUUUUUGUUUUUUUAGUCACACAGUUAGCUUUAAUUAUCAAUUUGACAAUAUCAUGGGCUCUUCCAGGAAGGGAGUCUUAGUUGAGGGAUUGCCCAGAUCAGAUCAGCCUAUGUAGGCCCAUCUCUGUGGGAUUGUCUUGAGUGUUAAUUGUUGUGGGAAGAUCAACCUAUUGAUGGCAGCAUCCCCAGACAACUGGUUUUGAUCUAUAAGGAAAGUGGCUAAGCGCGAACUGGUGAACGUGUCCGUGAGCUUCCUUCCUCCCUCCAUGGUGUCUGCCAUACUUCCUUGGCUGGGAGUGAGUUCCCGGUCAGAAUUAGUGCUGCAUGAAGUAGCAGCAUUUCUGCCUUCAGACUCCUGGUCUUGAGGUCUUGCUUAACUCCCCUCCAGGAAACACUGACUGAGAACAAAUAAACCUUUUCUUCCC